GCCGCUGUAGCUCAGACCUGGUAGAGCACCGGACCGAAAAUCCGGGUCGCGCAAGUUCGAAUCUUGCCGGCGGCACCA
RNAcentral lists this transfer RNA (78 nucleotides) under Sulfuritalea sp. RNAcentral describes it as "tRNA-Phe". It matches the Rfam family "tRNA". From Rfam's summary of the family: Transfer RNA (tRNA) molecules are approximately 80 nucleotides in length. Their secondary structure includes four short double-helical elements and three loops (D, anti-codon, and T loops). The record is from RNAcentral. Lineage: Bacteria; Pseudomonadati; Pseudomonadota; Betaproteobacteria; Nitrosomonadales; Sterolibacteriaceae.